RNAcentral lists this ribosomal RNA (695 nucleotides) under uncultured bacterium. RNAcentral's name for it is "bacterial SSU rRNA". It matches the Rfam family "Bacterial small subunit ribosomal RNA", at positions 129 to 839 of the family's 1533-position model. The record is from RNAcentral.
CCUCACACAGGGGGAUAACAGUUGGAAACGGCUGCUAAUACCGCAUAAGCGCACAGUACCGCAUGGUACAGUGUGAAAAACUCCGGUGGUGUGAGAUGGACCCGCGUCUGAUUAGCUAGUUGGCAGGGUAACGGCCUACCAAGGCGACGAUCAGUAGCCGACCUGAGAGGGUGACCGGCCACAUUGGGACUGAGACACGGCCCAAACUCCUACGGGAGGCAGCAGUGGGGAAUAUUGCACAAUGGGGGAAACCCUGAUGCAGCGACGCCGCGUGAGCGAAGAAGUAUUUCGGUAUGUAAAGCUCUAUCAGCAGGGAAGAAGAAAUGACGGUACCUGACUAAGAAGCACCGGCUAAAUACGUGCCAGCAGCCGCGGUAAUACGUAUGGUGCAAGCGUUAUCCGGAUUUACUGGGUGUAAAGGGAGCGCAGGCGGAAGGCUAAGUCUGAUGUGAAAGCCCGGGGCUCAACCCCGGUACUGCAUUGGAAACUGGUCAUCUAGAGUGUCGGAGGGGUAAGUGGAAUUCCUAGUGUAGCGGUGAAAUGCGUAGAUAUUAGGAGGAACACCAGUGGCGAAGGCGGCUUACUGGACGAUAACUGACGCUGAGGCUCGAAAGCGUGGGGAGCAAACAGGAUUAGAUACCCUGGUAGUCCACGCCGUAAACGAAGAAUACUAGGUGUCGGGAAGCAUUGCUCUU